UAUCUCUGUAGAGUCUGCAUAUCAAUAAGCGGAGGAAAAGAAACUAACAAGGAUUCCCCUAGUAACGGCGAGUGAAGCGGGAAGAGCUCAAAUUUGAAAUCUUAAAGGGUUUCCCUUUACGAAUUGUAGUUUAAAGAAGUGUUUUCUGUUGAGGUUUUGGUAAAAGUUCUUUGGAAUAGGACAUCAUAGAGGGUGAGAAUCCCGUAUUUGACCUUUACUUUCAACUUUGUGAUACACUUUCAAAGAGUCGGAUUGUUUGGGAAUGCAGUCCAAAAUGGGUGGUAAAUUUCAUCUAAAGCUAAAUAUUGGCGAGAGACCGAUAGCGAACAAGUACCGUGAGGGAAAGAUGAAAAGAACUUUGAAAAGAGAGUUAAACAGUACGUGAAAUUGUCAAAAGGGAAGCGUUUGACACCAGUGUUGUUUUUCUGAAAAUCAAUUAAAGAACUGUUUAUGCUAAGCUGUUUAGACUUUAUCAGCUAACUGUUUAGUUUUGAGCUUUUCUUUAAUGCACUUUUCAGUUAACAAGUCAACAUCAAUUUCUUUUGCUGUAAAAAAGCUUGAGGAAGGUGGCUUGAGAUUCGUCUUAAGUGUUUAUAGCCUCUUGCCUAUGCAGUCGGAGAGAUUGAGGUCUGCAGCGUAGAUCCUUCGGGGCUAAAUGCAUUUGUGCUAAGUUAUAGCAUUUUAUAGACAACUUGUUGACUAUGAUUUGUCUUGUAGCUUACUCGCUUAUGUUAUUUUACCUACGCUUAGGAUGUUGAAGUCAUCGUAUCGCGC
Molecule: ribosomal RNA, 774 nt
Filed under: uncultured Neocallimastigales
Lineage: Eukaryota; Fungi; Neocallimastigomycota; Neocallimastigomycetes; Neocallimastigales
Description: partial large subunit ribosomal RNA
Rfam family: Eukaryotic large subunit ribosomal RNA
Source: RNAcentral